Molecule: long non-coding RNA, 384 nt
Filed under: Heterocephalus glaber (naked mole-rat)
Lineage: Eukaryota; Metazoa; Chordata; Mammalia; Rodentia; Bathyergidae
Description: lncRNA (ENSHGLG00100050194.1)
Source: RNAcentral
CAAGGGCUCCAGCCAGAGAGUAUCAGGAGAGGAGCAAGGUGCUUGCAUGGUCUCCCUGCAAAGCCCAGUUUCCACCAGGAAAGCAACCAAUAGUCCUUGCAGGGGACUAGUGCCAUCAUAAUUAGCCACUCUGGACUCCUCCAGGCACAGGCCCAGGUGGUACAGGUAAAGGCUGCUACACAGGUGGGCAGGCUUUUGUGGAGGCCUCUUCAGAGUGGAGGGAAACUGCAUUACAGGUAAAGCCCCUUGGACCUUGUGAGAGCCUUUGGAGUUGUUUGAAGCCAGCCAGAUCUCACAAUCCUGGGAGAAGCAUUGCUGCUCUCACGGUGAAGAUAAUGAAAAACUGAGUCUGGACACCAGAAUUUCAUUUUUUCAUGUUCUGCU